AGGAAGGUAGGGCUUUGUACAAAAGUUUUCAUUUUUUUAUCUUUAUAGCUACUAGGUACCAAACUCAAAGGCUAGUGUAAAUAUUUUGAAAAAUUUAAACGUAAUCAUAUGAAGCUAGCGUUAAGUAAUGAAAAAGUGCCCUCGAAAGGGUACAGCAGAAUUUCUAAAGAUCAAAUUUUAACCUCAAAAUUUUCCGAGUCCCAAGAAAGUCAAGUGUCCAAUAAAGACCAGCACAGUAAAGAAGAAAUAUUUAAACUGAUAAUGAAAAAGAAAGAUUACUUGAGGAGGCUACAAUUGCUAAAAAAGUACAAGGAGACCGUUAAAUGAAAAGGAGCGCUUAAUGAGCUUGAUAGAUGUCUGGAAGAAUGUCUGUCAAGCGGCCGUUGAAGAACUACAAACGCUCUGCUCUCAAAAUGAGAAGAUCACAAAAAAGCAAAUUUUUGAGCGGCUUAGUAUAAAUUAUAACUUACUGGGGUAUACCUAUGAGGAUCUUGAAUGAUGGUAAUAAAAUGCAGC
This is a long non-coding RNA of Zophobas morio, 516 nucleotides long. RefSeq lists it as uncharacterized. Lineage: Eukaryota; Metazoa; Arthropoda; Insecta; Coleoptera; Tenebrionidae. The record is from RefSeq and is a predicted model, not a curated record. The transcript is spliced from 5 exons.